CAAUAGCGUAUAUUAAAGUUGUUGCAGUUAAAAAGCUCGUAGUUGGAUUUCUGGGAGGGUGCCGCCGUCCGGCGUGUCCGUGUGCAGUGGCGCCCUUCCAUCCUUCUGUUAGCGUCUCUUGGCAUUCAUUUGCUGGUGGCGGGCUCAGAUAUUUUACCUUGAGAAAAUUAGAGUGUUUCAGGCAGGCUAGGCCGGAAUACAUUAGCAUGGAAUAAUGGAAUAGGACUACGGUCUCUUUGUUGGUUUGAGGGACUGCAGUAAUGAUUAAUAGGGAUAGUUGGGGGCAUUAGUAUUUAAUUGUCAGAGGUGGAAUUCUCAGAUUUGUUAAAGACUAACUUAUGCGAAAGCAUUUGCCAAGGAUGUUUUCAUUAG
This 372-nucleotide ribosomal RNA is filed under the name uncultured eukaryote. RNAcentral's name for it is "partial 18S ribosomal RNA". It matches the Rfam family "Eukaryotic small subunit ribosomal RNA", at positions 592 to 976 of the family's 1831-position model. The record is from RNAcentral.